GACGAACGCUGGCGGCGUGCUUAACACAUGCAAGUCGUACGGUAAGGCCCUUUCGGGGGUACACGAGUGGCGAACGGGUGCGUAACACGUGAGUAACCUGCCCACAACUUUGGGAUAACGCUAGGAAACUGGUGCUAAUACUGGAUAUGUGCUCCUGCUGCAUGGUGGGGGUUGGAAAGCUCCGGCGGUUGUGGAUGGACUCGCGGCCUAUCAGCUUGUUGGUGGGGUAGUGGCCUACCAAGGCGGCGACGGGUAGCCAGCCUGAGAGGGUGACCGGCCACAUUGGGACUGAGAGACGGCCCAGACUCCGACGGGAGGCAGCAGUGGGGAAUAUUGCACAAUGGGCGCAAGCCUGAUGCAGCAACGCCGCGUGCGGGAUGACGGCCUUCGGGUUGUAAACCGCUUUCAGCAGGGACGAAGCUUUUUGUGACGGUACCUGCAGAAGAAGCACCGGCUAACUACGUG
RNAcentral lists this ribosomal RNA (465 nucleotides) under uncultured bacterium. Its description in RNAcentral is "partial 16S ribosomal RNA". It matches the Rfam family "Bacterial small subunit ribosomal RNA", at positions 28 to 507 of the family's 1533-position model. The record is from RNAcentral.